GCACUUAGCUGUGACGUUACUUACAGAAGAAGCACCGGCUAACUCCGUGCCAGCAGCCGCGGUAAUACGGAGGGUGCGAGCGUUAAUCGGAAUUACUGGGCGUAAAGCGUACGCAGGCGGUUUGUUAAGCGAGAUGUGAAAGACCCCGGGGCUCAACCUGGGAACUGCAUUUCGAACUGGCAAACUAGAGUGUGAUAGAGGGUGGUAGAAUUUCAGGUGUAGCGGUGAAAUGCGUAGAGAUCUGAAGGAAUACCGAUGGCGAAGGCAGCCACCUGGGUCAACACUGACGCUCAUGUAACGAAAGCGUGGGGAGCAAACAGGAUUAGAUACCCUGGUAG
This 338-nucleotide ribosomal RNA is filed under the name uncultured bacterium. Its description in RNAcentral is "bacterial SSU rRNA". It matches the Rfam family "Bacterial small subunit ribosomal RNA", at positions 459 to 793 of the family's 1533-position model. The record is from RNAcentral.